This 432-nucleotide ribosomal RNA is filed under the name uncultured bacterium. RNAcentral describes it as "partial 16S ribosomal RNA". It matches the Rfam family "Bacterial small subunit ribosomal RNA", at positions 338 to 795 of the family's 1533-position model. The record is from RNAcentral.
CCUACGGGAGGCAGCAGUAGGGAAUCUUCCACAAUGGACGAAAGUCUGAUGGAGCAACGCCGCGUGAGCGAUGAAGGCCUUCGGGUCGUAAAGCUCUGUUGUUAGGGAAGCGGUACCUAACCAGAAAGCCACGGCUAACUACGUGCCAGCAGCCGCGGUAAUACGUAGGUGGCAAGCGUUGUCCGGAAUUAUUGGGCGUAAAGCGCGCGCAGGCGGUCCUUUAAGUCUGAUGUGAAAGCCCACGGCUCAACCGUGGAGGGUCAUUGGAAACUGGGGGACUUGAGUACAGAAGAGGAAAGCGGAAUUCCACGUGUAGCGGUGAAAUGCGUAGAGAUGUGGAGGAACACCAGUGGCGAAGGCGGCUUUCUGGUCUGUACUGACGCUGAGGCGCGAAAGCGUGGGGAGCAAACAGGAUUAGAUACCCUUGUAGUC